Molecule: unclassified non-coding RNA, 462 nt
Filed under: uncultured Russula
Lineage: Eukaryota; Fungi; Basidiomycota; Agaricomycetes; Russulales; Russulaceae
Description: sequence contains ITS2
Rfam family: 5.8S ribosomal RNA (bases 1-154)
Source: RNAcentral
AACUUUCGGCAAUGGAUCACUUGGCUCUCGCAUCGUUGAAGAACGCAGCGAAAUGCGAGACGUAAUGUGAAUUGCAGAAUUCAGUGAAUCAUCGAAUCUUUGAACGCACCUUGCGCCCCUUGGCAUUCCGAGGGGCACACCCGUUUGAGCGUCGUGAAAUUCUCAAUACCUUUUCUUUUGCGGGAACGGAUUUUGGUCUUGGAGGCCUUUUGCUGGUUUCACCUCGAAGCGAGCUCCUCCCAAAUGGAUUAGUGGGGUCUGCUUUGCCGAUCCUUGACGUGAUAAGAUGCUUCUACGUCUCGGGUUUUGGCACUGUGCCUCUGCUUCUAACCGUCUCAUUGACAACGAUGGUGUUCCGGUCACCGCCGAUUCGUCGGUGGGAGGCUUGACCCACAGAACGACCUUGACCUCAAAUCAGGUGAGACUACCCGCUGAACUUAAGCAUAUCAAUAAGCGGAGGCU